RNAcentral lists this long non-coding RNA (411 nucleotides) under Panax ginseng (ginseng). Its description in RNAcentral is "long non-coding RNA (PGIN_LNC008826)". The record is from RNAcentral. Lineage: Eukaryota; Viridiplantae; Streptophyta; Magnoliopsida; Apiales; Araliaceae.
UUAAACUCUAUUCAUGGGUGGAGCCUAAUUUUAAGAAAUUAAAAGAGAGUUGUUAUGUGAAUUUUUUAUCAGUACAGAUUACUUCACAACUUUUGAUUCGUUGUAGAAGUGUUAUGUAAAGAGAAUACUUAUAUUCUUUCAGCUUAUAUAUAUAAUUGUUAUUACUUGUUGGGCACUCAAAUGCUCAUCCUUGCUUAAAUUAAAUGUUUUCAGUUAUGUAUGAGCAACCUGAAGGCUCAGGCACGAACAAGGGGAAAGGAAUGCUGUUCGAAUGAGUUUAUAUUAUGAGUUAAUGGUUAUAGUUAGUAAGACAAUGGAAUCUAUUGUCAGAUAUUGUAAGGAAUGUAUUUGAAGGUCACGUACCUGGGGAAGUAAACUUUGAUGUAUAUAAAUUAAGUUCGAAUGUAUUAU